UUGCGGCCCCAAGUCAGGCGAGACCACCCGCCGA
Molecule: ribosomal RNA, 34 nt
Filed under: Curcuma elata
Lineage: Eukaryota; Viridiplantae; Streptophyta; Magnoliopsida; Zingiberales; Zingiberaceae
Description: partial 26S ribosomal RNA
Source: RNAcentral